Molecule: ribosomal RNA, 468 nt
Filed under: uncultured bacterium
Lineage: Bacteria
Description: partial 16S ribosomal RNA
Rfam family: Bacterial small subunit ribosomal RNA
Source: RNAcentral
GACGAACGCUGGCGGCGUGCUUAACACAUGCAAGUCGAACGGAAAGGCCCUGCUUUUGUGGGGUGCUCUAGUGGCGAACGGGUGGGUAACACGUGAGUAACCUGCCCUUGACUUUGGGAUAACUUCAGGAAACUGGGGCUAAUACCGGAUAGGAGCUCCUGCUGCAUGGUGGGGGUUGGAAAGUUUCGGCGGUUGGGGAUGGACUCGCGGCUUAUCAGCUUGUUGGUGGGGUAGUGGCUUACCAAGGCUUUGACGGGUAGCCGGCCUGAGAGGGUGACCGGCCACAUUGGGACUGAGAUACGGCCCAGACUCCUACGGGAGGCAGCAGUGGGGAAUAUUGCUCAAUGGGCGGAAGCCUGAUGCAGCAACGCCGCGUGCGGGAUGACGGCCUUCGGGUUGUAAACCGCUUUCGCCUGUGACGAAGCGUGAGUGACGGUAAUGGGUAAAGAAGCACCGGCUAACUACGUG